AUGAUCUGGAGUAGGGCUUGCGACAUGACGACGCAGGGCUUCACGGUGAUCAGAGGUGAUGAUGCAGCGGUGAUGUUGUUGCAGGGCGGUGGAUGCACGGUGGCAGCGUGGCUGCGUGGAGACGUGAUGGUUUCUCGGCUUAGUGGUGGUGAGCUGGUGGAAUCGCGUGGGUGUGGUGCCGCUGGGUCGCGAUUCAGAAGAGGGAUGGCUUGUCUCGGCUUUGAGCGACUACUGCAAAUUAUUCUUCAGCCUUCUUCUCUUCUCUUUUUUCUGUGA
Non-coding RNA from Vicia faba (fava bean), 276 nucleotides. Lineage: Eukaryota; Viridiplantae; Streptophyta; Magnoliopsida; Fabales; Fabaceae. The record is from the annotation of a GenBank genome assembly.